CAGGGAGACAAAACUGAUUUUGAUGUCUGAGUUAAUUUGAACUUAGGCCAAGAUCCUGUCACCUUAGGUCGAUCGGUACCUCAAGUUUUCCAAAGUAGAUUGAGAAUUCAGUUUAAUUAAUUGGUAAAAACUUUAGUUCCUAAACUUUGUCUAGGUCACACCCAACAAGGGUACUCCUGGGCUAUUAGCUCAGGUGGUUAGAGCGCACCCCUGAUAAGGGUGAGGUCCCUGGUUCAAGUCCAGGAUGGCCCAUUCGGUGUUGGGGGUAUAGCUCAGUUGGUAGAGCGCCUGCUAUGCAAGCAGGAUGUCAGCGGUUCGAGUCCGCUUACCUCCACUGAUCUACCUCCUGAUAGCGAAGACACAGGAGAAUUUUUGUUGGUUUUGAUUUAGACUUUCUAUCUUGAAUGAUCCUAGCUUCUUAUCAUUCCUUUUCUAAAAGAAUUUUUAGAUAUGGUUGAUAUGAUGCUGGGCUCUCUGCAAAUAUUAAAUUUGCAGAUAAGUUCAGUAGAACCUUGACAACUGCAUAUGUGAGUCUGGAAAAGAAUAAAGCAUCUCAUAGAUGAAUUAUUCUUUUAAACAAAUACAUUUUUUCUGUUAAUCAGAUUAAUAGUAUUUAAUUUAAAGAUUAAUUAAUUCUUGAGCAAGAGCCGAGACUCUAUAUAGUCGGUUCUAUUUAGAAAUGAAUAGAAAAUUAGUUUACUAAUUAACGCUAUAUAGAGAUAUAUAU
RNAcentral lists this transfer RNA (727 nucleotides) under uncultured cyanobacterium. RNAcentral describes it as "partial contains 16S ribosomal RNA, 16S-23S ribosomal RNA intergenic spacer, and 23S ribosomal RNA". The stretch from base 179 to 252 matches the Rfam family "tRNA". Lineage: Bacteria; Bacillati; Cyanobacteriota. The record is from RNAcentral.